Long non-coding RNA from Oncorhynchus tshawytscha (Chinook salmon), 3040 nucleotides. NCBI's taxonomy places the organism in Eukaryota, Metazoa, Chordata, Actinopteri, Salmoniformes, Salmonidae. The record is from Ensembl.
GUAAUAUUGUGAUAUGGUGGUAUUAUACAUUUAGUAUUGUAGAUUUGUAGAGGUGUAAUAUUGUGGUGUGGUGGUACUAUACAUUUAGUAUUGUAGAUAUGUUGUGGUGUAAUAGUGUGGUAUUAUACAUUUAGUAUUGUAGUGGUGUACUAUUGUGGUAUGGUGGUAUUAUACAUUUAGUAUUGUUGAUGUGUAGUGGUGUAAUAUUGUGGUGUGGUGGUACUAUACAUUUAGUAUUGUAGAUAUGUUGUGGUGUAAUAGUGUGGUAUUAUACAUUUAGUAUUGUAGUGGUGUACUAUUGUGGUAUGGUGGUAUUAUACAUUUAGUAUUGUUGAUGUGUAGUGGUGUAAUAUUGUGGUGUGUUGGUAUAAUACAUUUAAUAUUGUAGUGGUGUAAUAUUGUGGUAUGGGGGUAUUAUACAUUUAGUAUUGUAGAUAUGUAGUGGUGUAAUAUUGUGGUGUGGUGGUAUUAUACAUUUAGUAUUGUAGAUAUGUAGUGGUGUAAUAUUGUGGUAUGGUGGUAUUAUACAUUUAGUAUUGUAGAUAUGUGGUGGUGUAAUAUUGUGGUGUGCUGGUAUUAUACAUUUAGUAUUGUAGUGGUGUAAUAUUGUGCUAGAGUGGUAUUAUACAUUUAGUAUUGUAGAUAUGUAGUGGUGUAAUAUUGUGGUAUGGUGGUGGUAACGUGGGAUGGAGAAAAGGUCCGAAUACGGUCCCAAUUGCUCACUCAGGAAUCCCAUUUUGCAUCUGAUGAACUCCGGAAGUCCCCGUCGUCUACGUCCCCAAGAGGAUCCAAGCUUACCCGAUUCCCUCCAAAAGCCUGAGGGAGACUGCCAAUUCACCUCUUCCCGAGCCGAUGCAGCUCGGCAGGACUAGGCUGUCUCCAGCCUAACGUGUACGCAGACUUGAGACCUAGAGUUGUUUGUAUUGCGGUACUGCCAGUCAUUAUGUGUCUAUAUGUCCCUUCAAGAGACCUAGCUCAUUUGUUGGAGUGAGUACUCUGGUAGGCCUUGCUCACCCCCCUCUCUGUGCCAUCCUGCGGUGGGGAAACCAGUCCAAAUCUCUCCAGGUACUCAUCGACUCAGGGGCGAUGUGAGUCUCAUGGAAGUUAUCCUGGCAUCCGAGCUGGGCAUCCCCACUCAACCCCUCUCCAUUCCCAUGGUUGUUAGAGCACUGGAUGGGUGCUCUAUAGGUCGGGUCACCCACCAGACCACCCCCGUCAACCUACGAGUGUCGGGGAACCACAGCGAGACAAUCCAAUUCCUGCUGGUUGAGUCUUCGCAGGUUCCUGUGGUAUUGGGAUUCUCUUGGCUCCAGCGCUACAAUCCCUCCAUUGACUGGGCUACUGGUGCCAUCGUAGGCUAGAGCCCGUCCUGCCACACUCAUUGCCUGAAGUCAGCUCUGCCUGCCCCAGGACAUCUUCCUGGGGGCUUGGAAAUUUCCCCGGACCUUUCCGCCAGCUCCGGAGAGUAGCAGGAACUCCGGGAGGGUUUCAGUAAGACCCGGACCACUUUGUUUCCGCAGCACCAACCAGUAUCCAAGAAGGUCAAGCCUGAGGCGCUGGCAAGCCGCUAUAGUGCCUCGGCUACAACCCCGGAAACCGAGACCUUUCCCCCCGGCUCCAAGAUCAUUAGCCCCUCUGCUGUUCGUCCUCUGUUGUCCGUACCCUCCAUAAUUUUCCUACCUUUUCUGUGUCUAGAGUUAAAACCAUGUCUGACUCCCCCUUGUCUCCUGUUCGCAGGAUCUAUUUGGAAGAGGGGAAGGAAGGUAUCGUGAUCAAAUCUAUUUAACAAGCUAUCGUGGAUUUUGAAAGAUGGUCGAUUGAUUGGGAUUUUAAUUUGUCAGUGACGAUGGCUUUUUCAGAGAAGAAACUACUGAUAAUACCAUUUUAUUCUGUAUGGACAGCCCAUGGGGAGGGUUUAUAAGUACAAAUAUUUGGUCUAUGGUUCAAUGAGCAAUAUACAGUACAUUCGGAAAGUAUUCCGACCCCUUGACUUUUUACAGAUUUUGUUACGUUACAGCCUCAUUAUGAAAUGGAUUAAAUCGUUUUCCCCCAUCAAUCUACGCACAAUACCGAAUAAAACUGGUUUUCAGAAAUGUUUGCAUCUUUAUAAAAUGUUUUAAAUAUCACGUUUACAUAAGUUUUCAGACCCUUUACUCAGUACCUUGUUGAAGAACCUUUGGCAGCAAUUACAGCCUCAGGUCUUCUUGGGUAUGAUGCUACAAGCUUGGCACACCUGUAUUUGGGAAGUUUCUCCCAUUCUUCUCUGCAAAUCCUCUCAAGCUCUGUCAGGUUGGAUGGGAAGCGUUGCUGCACAGCUAUUUUCAGGUCUCUCCAGAGAUGUUCGACCGGGUUCAAGUCUGGGCUCUGGCUGGGCCACUCAAGGACGUUCAGAGACUUGUCCUGAAGCCACUCCUACGUUGUCUUGGCUGUGUGCUUAGGGUCGUUGUCCUGUUGGAAGGUGAACCUUGGCCCGAGUCUGAGGUCCUAGGUGCUCUGGGCAGGUUUUCAUCAAGGACCCCCCCUGACAAUGCUCCGUUCAUCUUUCCCUCGUUCCUGACUAGUCUCUGCAGCUGAAAAACAUCCCCACAGCAUGAUUCUGCCACCACCAUGCUUGACCGUGGGGAUUGUGCCAGGUUUCCUCCAGAUGUGACGCUUGGCAUUCAGGCCAAAAAGUUCAAACUUGGUUUCGUCAGACAAAAGAAUCUUGAGACAUUUAGGUGCCAACUCUAGAAAGAGUCUUGGUGGUUCCAAACUUUUUCCAUUUAAGAAUGAUGGAGGACACUGUGUUCUUGGGGACCUUCAAUUCUGCAGAAAUGUUUUGGUACCCUUCCCCAGAAGUUUGAGUCAGUCGACACAAUCCUGUUUCGGAGGUCUACGGACAAUUCCUUCAACCUCAUGGAUUGGUUUUUCUCUGACAUGCACAGUCACCUGUGGGACCUUGUAUAGACAGGUAUGGUCCUUUCCAAAUCAUGUCCAAUCAAUUGAAUUUACAUCAGGUGGACUCCAUUUUUUGUGUAUAUAUAUAUAUAUAUAUAUAUAU